UACAACGGGUGGAGCCUGCGGUUUAAUUUGGACUCAACGACCGGAAACUCACCGGGGCGACAGCAAUAUGUAGGUCAAGCUAAAGACUUUACCAGAAUCGCUGAGAGGAGGUGCAUGGCCGUCGUCAGUUCGUACUGUGAAGCAUCCUGUUAAGUCAGGCAACGAGCGAGACCCGUGCCCACUGUUGCCAGCAUGUCCUUCGGGAUGAUGGGUACUCUGUGGGACCGCCGAUGCUAAAUCGGAGGAAGGUGCGGGCUACGGUAGGUCAGUAUGCCCCGAAUCUCCCGGGCUACACGCGGGCUACAAUGACUGGGACAAUGGGCUCCUACCCCGAAAGGGGAUGGUAAUCUCAUAAACCCAGCCUUAGUUCGGAUCGAGGGCUGUAACCCGCCCUCGUGAAGCUGGAAUCCGUAGUAAUCGCGUUUCAACAUAGCGCGGUGAAUACGUCCCUGCUCCUU
Molecule: ribosomal RNA, 458 nt
Filed under: uncultured Methanomethylovorans sp.
Lineage: Archaea; Methanobacteriati; Methanobacteriota; Methanomicrobia; Methanosarcinales; Methanosarcinaceae
Description: bacterial SSU rRNA
Rfam family: Archaeal small subunit ribosomal RNA
Source: RNAcentral